UGAUAAAUUUUAAUGCUAAAAUUUUAUUUGUUGUUCAUUAUUAAUUUUAAAAGUAUUGGCGGUAUUUGGUUAAAUUCUGAGGAACUUGUAUAUUUAAAUUGAUAUUACACAUUAAAUUUUAUCUAUAAGUAGUUUUAUGUAUUGCUGUUUAAUUUAUUAUUUAUUAUUGAUAAAUAAAUUUAAAUAACUUUAGUUAAAUAAUUCAAGUCAAAAUGUAGAUUUUUGUAGGGUUAUAUGAGUUACAUUUAUAUUGAAAUAUGGGGCUGUAAAGUUAAUUGAAAUAUUAAUGAUAUUAAGGUUGGAUUAGGAAGUAAAAAUAAAUUAGUUAGUUUUUUUGAUAAAUUAUACCGAUAUGU
Molecule: ribosomal RNA, 356 nt
Filed under: Draculoides sp. SCH078
Lineage: Eukaryota; Metazoa; Arthropoda; Arachnida; Schizomida; Hubbardiidae
Description: partial small subunit ribosomal RNA
Source: RNAcentral